Molecule: ribosomal RNA, 465 nt
Filed under: uncultured bacterium
Lineage: Bacteria
Description: partial 16S ribosomal RNA
Rfam family: Bacterial small subunit ribosomal RNA
Source: RNAcentral
CUACGGGAUGCUCCAGUGGGGAAUAUUGCACAAUGGGCGCAAGCCUGAUGCAGCCAUGCCGCGUGUAUGAAGAAGGCCUUCGGGUUGUAAAGUACUUUCAGCGGGGAGGAAGGGAGUAAAGUUAAUACCUUUGCUCAUUGACGUUACCCGCAGAAGAAGCACCGGCUAACUCCGUGCCAGCAGCCGCGGUGAAUACGGAGGGUGCAAGCGUUGAUCGGAAUUACUGGGCGUAAAGCGCACGCAGGCGGUUUGUUAAGUCAGAUGUGAAAUCCCCGGGCUCAACCUGGGAACUGCAUCUGAUACUGGAAAGCUUGAGUCUCGUAGAGGGGGGUAGAAUUCCAGGUGUAGCGGUGAAAUGCGUAGAGAUCUGGAGGAAUACCGGUGGCGAAGGCGGCCCCCUGGACGAAGACUGACGCUCAGGUGCGAAAGCGUGGGGAGCAAACAGGAUUAGAUACCCCCGUAGUC